AUGCUUGCUUUGGCAGUACAUCUACAUAAAUUGGAAUGAGACAGAGAAGAUGGCCCCUGUGCAGGGAUGACAUCACUAUUUCAUUCUUGAAAAGUACCUUU
Molecule: small nuclear RNA, 101 nt
Organism: Lepisosteus oculatus (spotted gar)
Lineage: Eukaryota; Metazoa; Chordata; Actinopteri; Semionotiformes; Lepisosteidae
Source: Ensembl